RNAcentral lists this long non-coding RNA (417 nucleotides) under Elaeis guineensis (African oil palm). RNAcentral's name for it is "long non-coding RNA (EGUI_LNC061775)". The record is from RNAcentral. Lineage: Eukaryota; Viridiplantae; Streptophyta; Magnoliopsida; Arecales; Arecaceae.
CGCCGCAGUAACGGCCGCGAUUCUGCUCCACUCCCUGCGGCAGAUUCCACGCGGCUCCAUCACUCCACGACUCUGCUCCACCUCUUGCGACGGAUUUCACACGGUUCCAUCACUCCCUGGCAGGCCAUAAUAAUGGCCACGGUCCUGCUCCACUUUCUACGACGGGUACCAUGCGAUUCUUCCAUUCUCUGGCAAGUCGCGACAACGGACACUGCUCCGCUCCUCGUGGCAGACUUCACGUGGCACAUCCCGAUGAUAGCCACGGGUCCACUCCACUACUCUUCGCAACAAACUUCUCCUGACUAUGGGUGGCCCACUGCCAGACGGUUACAGGCAUCGCUAUCAGUUUGUUGCCCCCUCCGCCUAUAAAAGGGUGAACCCCAGAUACGUUAUUGUAUAAGCUCUCAUUUUUACCUA